ACGAGGUCAGCUUUAAUACACGAGCAAGCAAACACUAUACCCAUUACGGACAUUUGUGCGGCUAUGUCCGUAAUGGGCAUAGUGUUUGCUUGCUCGUGUAUUAAAGCUGACCUCG
This 115-nucleotide microRNA precursor is filed under the name Anopheles epiroticus. Lineage: Eukaryota; Metazoa; Arthropoda; Insecta; Diptera; Culicidae. The record is from RNAcentral.